Zonotrichia leucophrys gambelii is the source of this 367-nucleotide long non-coding RNA. RefSeq lists it as uncharacterized. The transcript has 4 exons. NCBI's taxonomy places the organism in Eukaryota, Metazoa, Chordata, Aves, Passeriformes, Passerellidae. The record is from RefSeq and is a predicted model, not a curated record.
GGCCGCCCCGGUGCGCCCGGUGCCCGGGUAAGGCAGCUCAGCUGAGGCGCUGCGGGCGUCCCCGAGCGGAGAACGGGAGCAGGUACCGCUACCGAGAGAGCUCUGUGCUCUGCAGGGACACCGCGAUAACUGGUGGUAUAACUAUCAAGCUUUUUCUGUAUGACCCCAUGCACUGACCUGGAGAAGUCAAGUAUGGAAAUAGAGCCUGCUUCAGAAACCAGCCUGAGGAUGUGUGUUACUCAUCUGGCAGCAAUCACAGAGCUCAAAUCUCCAUUCUGAUUUUUAUGGAAGAUGAUAUUCUGAUGUGUGGCUGAUUGUGUCUCCAGGCUGCAUAUUAAGGAGAGACAGGUUAGAAAUUAGUGAUUUU